Molecule: transfer RNA, 87 nt
Filed under: Azospirillum brasilense
Lineage: Bacteria; Pseudomonadati; Pseudomonadota; Alphaproteobacteria; Rhodospirillales; Azospirillaceae
Description: tRNA-Leu
Rfam family: tRNA
About the family: Transfer RNA (tRNA) molecules are approximately 80 nucleotides in length. Their secondary structure includes four short double-helical elements and three loops (D, anti-codon, and T loops).
Source: RNAcentral
GCUCGCGUGGCGGAAUUGGUAGACGCGCCAGACUUAAAAUCUGUUGCCUGUACAGGCGUGCCGGUUCGACCCCGGCCGCGAGCACCA